RNAcentral lists this small nuclear RNA (329 nucleotides) under Prolemur simus (greater bamboo lemur). RNAcentral describes it as "7SK RNA (ENSPSMG00000013713.1)". It matches the Rfam family "7SK RNA". From Rfam's summary of the family: 7SK was discovered as an abundant small nuclear RNA in the mid-70s but a possible function has only recently been suggested. Two independent studies have found that 7SK RNA binds the CDK9/cyclin T complex (known as elongation factor P-TEFb). Lineage: Eukaryota; Metazoa; Chordata; Mammalia; Primates; Lemuridae. The record is from Rfam by way of RNAcentral.
GGAUGCGAGGGCGAUCUGGCUGUGACACCUGUCACCCCACUGAUGGCCAGGGUUGAUACGGCUGAUCUGGCUGGCUAAGCGGGUGUCCCCUCCCUCCCUCACUGCUCCAUGUGUGUCCCUCUCGAAUCUGCACACUAAGUUGAAGAGUACGACCUUCCCCGAUAGAGGAGGACCAUUCUUCUGUCAACAGUAUAGGGGAACCGUUAUUUGGUUAAGGGUAUACGAGUAGCUGCGCUUCCCUGCUAGAACCUCCAAACAAACUCUCAAAAGAAUCAUUAGUAAAGAUUGUGGUGCCAGUGAAAAGGGAACCCGGGCUUCUGUUUCUGUUU